GACGAACGCUGGCGGCGUGCUUAACACAUGCAAGUCGAACGGAAAGGCCCUGCUUUUGUGGGGUGCUCGAGUGGCGAACGGGUGAGUAACACGUGAGUAACCUGCCCUUGACUGUGGGAUAAUUUUAGGAAACUGGGGCUAAUACCGGAUAGGAGCUCCUGAUGCAUGGUGGGGGUUGGAAAGUUUCGGCGGUUGGGGAUGGACUCGCGAUGGAUCAGCUUGUUGGUGGGGUAGUGGCUUACCAAGGCUUUGACGGGUAGCCGGCCUGAGAGGGUGACCGGCCACAUUGGGACUGAGAUACGACCCAGACUCCUACGGGAGGCAGCAGUGGGGAAUAUUGCACAAUGGGCGGAAGCCUGAUGCAGCAACGCCGCGUGCGGGAUGACGGCCUUCGGGUUGUAAACCGCUUUCGCCUGUGACGAAGCGUGAGUGACGGUAAUGGGUAAAAAAGCACCGGCUAACUACGUG
RNAcentral lists this ribosomal RNA (468 nucleotides) under uncultured bacterium. RNAcentral describes it as "partial 16S ribosomal RNA". It matches the Rfam family "Bacterial small subunit ribosomal RNA", at positions 28 to 507 of the family's 1533-position model. The record is from RNAcentral.